CCUACGGGAGGCAGCAGUGGGGAAUUUUCCGCAAUGGGCGAAAGCCUGACGGAGCAAUACCGCGUGAGGGAGGAAGGCUCUUGGGUUGUAAACCUCUUUUGUCAGGGAAGAAGAUCUGACGGUACCUGACGAAUCAGCAUCGGCUAACUCCGUGCCAGCAGCCGCGGUAAUACGGGGGAUGCAAGCGUUAUCCGGAAUUAUUGGGCGUAAAGCGUCCGCAGGUGGUUGUUCAAGUCUGCUGUUAAAGCAUGGGGCUUAACUCCAUAUAGGCAGUGGAAACUGGACGACUAGAGUACGGUAGGGGUCGCGGGAAUUCCCAGUGUAGCGGUGAAAUGCGUAGAUAUUGGGAAGAACACCAGUGGCGAAAGCGCGCGGCUGGACCUGUACUGACACUGAGGGACGAAAGCUAGGGGAGCGAAAGGGAUUAGAUACCCCUGUAGUCCUAGCUGUAAACGAUGGAUACUAGGUGUUGCCCGUAUCGACCCGGGCAGUGCGUACGCUACGACGUUAGUAUCCGUCCGUCGGGUAGGUACGCGACGCGAGCGUGAACGUUAAACGGUAAGUUAGUACGGCGUGAGACGUGCCGAACGGACGACGACGAGGGAGUAGG
RNAcentral lists this ribosomal RNA (610 nucleotides) under uncultured bacterium. RNAcentral's name for it is "bacterial SSU rRNA". The stretch from base 1 to 519 matches the Rfam family "Bacterial small subunit ribosomal RNA", at positions 338 to 873 of the family's 1533-position model. The record is from RNAcentral.